CAGUUUGAUUCUGACUGAAUAAUUAACUAAUUACCAACCAAAAUACAUGUAAAAUAUAGUAACCCCGCACUAACUAAAAUCUAAAUGAUUUAAUAACUGUAUCUAGUACAUACCCCACACACCAGAGCGCCACAGUAAGCAACACUUUUCAAUUUGAGAAAUCAAGAAAAGAGUAUGGGAAAAGGGCUGGCAAAAUUCGUGCCAGCUGCCGCGGUUAGACGAUAAGCCCAAGUUAAUUUAAUAUAAACCAAUUAAAGAUAGGUUAAACAAUAACAAAAGUCUAAUUUUUAAAAUCAAGGACUCGCAUCUAUCAAAUAAAAAUGAAAUCAUGAACUAAAACAUGGAUUAGAUACCCAUCUAUUCAUGAUGUAAAUAAAAGUUGAAUAUUACGAACAACAGUUUAAAAUUCAAAGAUUUUGGCGGUGUCUUAUAAAACCAGGGGAACCUGUCUCAUAACUCGAUAAUCCACGUAUGCCCAACCUUCUCUAGAUACUCAGCAUGUAUACUGCCGUUGUAAGCAUACCUUUAAAAGAAUAGUAUGCUACUAUGAUUGAAUAACUUAACUCAUAUACAUCAGGUCAAAGUGCAGCUAAUAAGAAGGUGAUGAUGGGUUACAACCCUAAAACAGACCAUCAACUAAGAAAUCAAAAAUCUUACGAAAGUGGACUUGGCCGUAAUCAAUUUAAAUUAAAAAAAUGAAUAAUAUCUAAGACAUGUACACAUCGCCCGUCACUCUAUCCUAAAGGUUAGAUAAGUCGUAACAAAGUAGGUGUAAUGGAAAUUGUACCUGU
This 791-nucleotide non-coding RNA is filed under the name Amynthas corticis. The record is from RNAcentral. Lineage: Eukaryota; Metazoa; Annelida; Clitellata; Crassiclitellata; Megascolecidae.